RNAcentral lists this ribosomal RNA (483 nucleotides) under uncultured bacterium. Its description in RNAcentral is "partial 16S ribosomal RNA". It matches the Rfam family "Bacterial small subunit ribosomal RNA", at positions 30 to 507 of the family's 1533-position model. The record is from RNAcentral.
UUGAACGCUGGCGGCAGGCCUAACACAUGCAAGUCGCGCGGAUGAAGGGAGCUUGCUCCUGGAUUCAGCGGCGGACGGGUGAGUAAUGCCUAGGAAUCUGCCUGGUAGUGGGGGAUAACGUCCGGAAACGGGCGCUAAUACCGCAUACGUCCUGAGGGAGAAAGUGGGGGAUCUUCGGACCUCACGCUAUCAGAUGAGCCUAGGUCGGAUUAGCUAGUUGGUGGGGUAAAGGCCUACCAAGGCGACGAUCCGUAACUGGUCUGAGAGGAUGAUCAGUCACACUGGAACUGAGACACGGUCCAGACUCCUACGGGAGGCAGCAGUGGGGAAUAUUGGACAAUGGGCGAAAGCCUGAUCCAGCCAUGCCGCGUGUGUGAGGAAGGUCUUCGGAUUGUAAAGCACUUUAAGUUGGGAGGAAGGGCAGUAAGUUAAUACCUUGCUGUUUUGACGUUACCAACAGAAUAAGCACCGGCUAACUUCGUG